AGAGUUUGAUCCUGGCUCAGAUUGAACGCUGGCGGCAGGCCUAACACAUGCAAGUCGAACGGUAACAGGAAGAAGCUUGCUUCUUUGCUGACGAGUGGCGGACGGGUGAGUAAUGUCUGGGAAACUGCCUGAUGGAGGGGGAUAACUACUGGAAACGGUAGCUAAUACCGCAUAACGUCGCAAGACCAAAGAGGGGGACCUUCGGGCCUCUUGCCAUCGGAUGUGCCCAGAUGGGAUUAGCUAGUAGGUGGAGUAACGGCUCACCUAGGCGACGAUCCCUAGCUGGUCUGAGAGGAUGACCAGCCACACUGGAACUGAGACACGGUCCAGACUCCUACGGGAGGCAGCAGUGGGGAAUAUUGCACAAUGGGCGCAAGCCUGAUGCAGCCAUGCCGCGUGUAUGAAGAAGGCCUUCGGGUUGUAAAGUACCUUUCAACGGGGAGGAAGGGAGUAAUGUUAAUACCCUUCUGCCUCAUUGACGUUACCCGCAGAAGAAGCACCCGGCAAACUCCGUGCCGGCAGCCGCGGUGAUACGGAGGGUACAAGCGUUAAUUGGAAUUACUGGGCGUAAAGCGCAGGCAGGCGGCUUUGUUAAAUCAGAUGAGAAAUCCCCGGGCUCAACACUGGGAACAGCAUCUGAUACUGGCAAGCUUGAGUCUCGUAGAGGGGGGUAGAAUUCCAGGUGUAGCGGUGAAAUGCGUAGAGAUCUGGAGGAAUACCGGUGGCGAAGGCGGCCCCCUGGACGAAGACUGACGCUCAGGUGCGAAAGCGUGGGGAGCAAACAGGAUUAGAUACCCUGGUAGUCCA
This 807-nucleotide ribosomal RNA is filed under the name uncultured bacterium. RNAcentral describes it as "bacterial SSU rRNA". It matches the Rfam family "Bacterial small subunit ribosomal RNA", at positions 8 to 797 of the family's 1533-position model. The record is from RNAcentral.